CCUACGGGCGGCAGCAGUGAGGAAUAUUGGUCAAUGGGCGCGAGCCUGAACCAGCAAAGUAGCGUGAAGGAUGAAUGCUCUACGGGUUGUAAACUUCUUUUAUAAAGGAAUAAAGUGAGGCACGUGUGCCUUUUUGUAUGUACUUUAUGAAUAAGGAUCGGCUAACUCCGUGCCAGCAGCCGCGGUAAUACGGAGGCAGCGAGUGUUAACCGGGUUUAUUGGGUUAAAGGGGUGCGUAGGCGGAAUAUCAAGUCAGCGGUAAAAAUUCGGGGCUCAACCCCGUCGUGCCGUUGAAACUGAUUUUCUUGAGUGGGCGAGAAGUAUGCGGAAUUCGUGGUGUAGCGGUGAAAUGCAUAGAUAUCACGCAGAACUCCGAUUGCGAAGGCAGCAUACCGGCGCCCAACUGACGCUGAAGCACGAAAGCGUGGGUAUCGAACAGGAUUAGAUACCCUUGUAGUC
This 459-nucleotide ribosomal RNA is filed under the name uncultured bacterium. RNAcentral's name for it is "partial 16S ribosomal RNA". It matches the Rfam family "Bacterial small subunit ribosomal RNA", at positions 338 to 795 of the family's 1533-position model. The record is from RNAcentral.